AAGUCAGUUUUAGAGAAAAAACAUGUACUUACUUGUGCUGUUAUUAGACCUCAUGUUCUAGAGAAAAAGCUUCAGCAAGGUCUGCAUUAUUCAAACUGAAAAAUACAGCGUGUUCCUUUAUAACUCCCCCCAUCUUUCACCCUGGAUUAUUUUUAUACUUUCUUGAUUGCAAGAUAAACAAUUAAUACGCACAGCCUCUCUAUAACUGUGUAUUUUUUCCUGGUAGUAAAAUGUCUCAAGGCACUGCUUCAGACUAUAUUUGUAAUGGGGACGGAGUGGAUGUUUAUGAACUGAAUGGUAUAGCUUGUAGACUUCAGUGGGCUUCAAUUACACGUAACCGUGCAGUGAACUGAUAGACCCAAGAGUGCAGAAGUGCACAACAUACACCUCCAUGACCUAAAGCACCAUCUGUAGUGGUGACAGCUCCCCGAGCCAGAACGGUGUGCUUCCAGAUCACUGGAUUAUUCAUCAGUCCCUUGUAACUAAUACAGUUCUCCAAAACAAUGACAGCGACAACGGUGGUUUAAAUGUGGACCUAGAAGCAAGUUUACAUUUGCCUGAAAGAGUUCCCAGAGCUUAGACUUGUUCAAUAGCUGCUUGGAGCAUCCUUGAGAGAAAGGUGACUUUCAUCUGAACUAGCUGGGCAAGGAAAAACUGGCUGAAUGGAGUGACUGAGCCACAGGCAAGUUGAAGGGGUGGUCUGAGUGGCCAAAAUCAAGUGUCAGAGAAUCAACUGAGAAUCGUUUAUGGUGCUGAAAUGCUAUUUCAGAUUUGCUAUUUCUUUCAGAGCUGCACAGAAGAAAAAGAUCAAGUGCCUUCAAAACAGACGGAACAGAACCAGAUCUACAGCUCACCUACCAACAGUCUAACCCAUGAAGGUACAGAAGCAGAUGCUUUUCAAAAUGGCAAACAUGAAUUUUACAUUAAACUUUAUAUACUUAGAGGAAUUCUUGUAUCUUGGUCUUUACAUACUGUGAUCUCCAUAGUUAUUUUUUCUUUGGGAAUGAAACGCAGGUCAACAGGAACAAUGAACAAAGAAUCCUAAACACGCCCAUGUGCCAGCAUUGCUUCUCCAGGGCUACAAAAGUGCCCAGGAACACAGAUGCUUCAUUUCCCUUGCUUGCUAUCAGUGCAGUUAUUCAAAACGCAAAAGUUGCAGCCUGCUGCUUCAGCAGAAUGGGGAGAAAAGCUCAGGCAUCACCACUCUUUACUCCUUCCCAUUCUGCAGAGUCAGCACUGACAUUUCUUUGGAAGACGCAGACAACACAAGGAUACUAAUUCAUCCCUCAGCUUUAUGUGCUUGAUUCUGUAAAUAGGAGUCCUACUACUGACCACAACGUGCACACGACGCUAUCUCAGGGAGACUGCAGAAGUUACACCAGCUGCUGCUAUAUUUGGGUGCAGAUCUGGCUCUAAGUCUUCAAAGCACUCUGCUGUGACUCUCCCUCAUAACACAGGCUUCUCAGCCCGGCACGAGGUUUCUUUUGGCCAGCUACACAACAACGUGAGCUAGCACAGUCAGGGAGCUUCGUUAAAGGAGAUGUAUCUUGGGAGAACAUACACCAUCUUUUUACGGGGGACGGCCAAAGAUGUAGCUCCCCAUCUUCAAGUAUUCUGUAAUACAAAGGGUAACAUCAUUCUGGAGACAAGCUACUGAGAUGGAAAGACACGACUGCUCAAGGCAUUUACUAACUUUGCGUGCCCAGCAGUGUGCUUUGCUUCCUGCAAGCCUGAAAGGAGAAGGAAAUUACAGGCUGACUCAGACACACAAUGCACUGGAUUCAACGAACAAGCACCUAAUGGAAAGAGAAACUUCAGUUCUGU
Molecule: long non-coding RNA, 1824 nt
Organism: Meleagris gallopavo (turkey)
Lineage: Eukaryota; Metazoa; Chordata; Aves; Galliformes; Phasianidae
Source: RefSeq, a predicted model, not a curated record